ACUUUCCAGAUUGGCUCACCAAUAUAGUAAUGAUAUGAAAAGCAAAUGAAAAAUGAUGAAUUUAUAUCGACUACACCAAUCUAAAUGAAUCUUGUCCAAAGGACAGCUUUUCUUUACCAAAGAUCGAUCAACUAGUCGACGCAACUUCGAAACAUCGACUUCUGAGCUUCAUGAACGUCUUUGUAGGCUAUAACUAAAUUUAGAUGGUACCCA
Molecule: long non-coding RNA, 213 nt
Filed under: Elaeis guineensis (African oil palm)
Lineage: Eukaryota; Viridiplantae; Streptophyta; Magnoliopsida; Arecales; Arecaceae
Description: long non-coding RNA (EGUI_LNC081499)
Source: RNAcentral